CUGUGAAUUAAAGGGUAUUUCAAACAACUGGGUAGAUAUAGCUUUGUUUAAUGUAACCUUCUUUACGGAGUACUGCAGUUUCUUUUGGAAAUAUUUCACCCUAUAAAAGGUAAAUGUAGGAAUGUUUAGAAGCUUUGUGCUCUUGGCCUGAGGUGACUCCCUGUGGGUUGACUUGCUGGACCCAGCCACUGUGGGAAUACAUUAGGAAGGCAACUGCUCGAUAUGAGAGUAUUUUAUUACAUAGGCCAGCAUUCCCAACUGAUAGUCCGGGUCAUACAUUAAAGCUGCCAAGAGGGGGCAGCGUGGAGUUACUAUAACAGUAUUUCUACUGAAAUGCUAUAUAUUGUUUUCAUGGAGGGUGAAGGAAAUUCGUAUUUACUGUAAUUUUUACUUUGAAAAAUAAGAGUUUUACCAAUUAAGUAUGGGAAAUCACUCUGCCACAUCAGGGAAGUAAAUGAGUAUAUGAU
Pelobates cultripes (western spadefoot toad) is the source of this 467-nucleotide non-coding RNA. Lineage: Eukaryota; Metazoa; Chordata; Amphibia; Anura; Pelobatidae. The record is from the annotation of a GenBank genome assembly.